GACGAACGCUGGCGGCGUGCCUAAUACAUGCAAGUCGAGCGAACCCGGGGUGCUUGCACCCUGAGGGUUAGCGGCGGACGGGUGAGUAACACGCGGGGAACCUGCCUUGCUGUCUGGGAUAACACCGGGAAACCGGUGCUAAUACCGGAUGUCCCCUUCCCGGCACCGGCCGGAGAGGGAAAAGGCGGCUGUGAGCCGCCGCAGCAAGCGGGGCCCGCGGCGCAUGAGUUAGUUGGCAGGGUAACGGCCUCCCAAGGCGACGAGGCGUAGCCGACCUGAGAGGGUGAUCGGCCACACUGGGACUGAGACACGGCCCAGACUCCGACGGGAGGCAGCAGUAGGGAAUCAUCCGCAAUGGACGAAAGUCUGACGGUGCAACGCCGCGUGAGUGAUGAAGGUUUUCGGAUCGUAAAGCUCUGUUGUGAGGGAAGAAUAGGAUGGGGAGGAAAUGCCCGAUCUGUGACGGUACCUCACCAGAAAGCCCCGGCUAACUACGUGCCAGCCGCCGCAGUAA
This 514-nucleotide ribosomal RNA is filed under the name uncultured bacterium. RNAcentral describes it as "partial 16S ribosomal RNA". It matches the Rfam family "Bacterial small subunit ribosomal RNA", at positions 28 to 523 of the family's 1533-position model. The record is from RNAcentral.